This 793-nucleotide ribosomal RNA is filed under the name uncultured cyanobacterium. RNAcentral's name for it is "bacterial SSU rRNA". It matches the Rfam family "Bacterial small subunit ribosomal RNA", at positions 44 to 883 of the family's 1533-position model. The record is from RNAcentral. Lineage: Bacteria; Bacillati; Cyanobacteriota.
GUGCUUAACACAUGCAAGUCGAACGAACCUUCGGGUUAGUGGCGGACGGGUGAGUAACGCGUGGGAAUCUGCCCUCAGGAGGGGGAUAACGGUUGGAAACGACCGCUAAUACCCCAUAUGCCGAGAGGUGAAAUGAAUUUCGCCUGAGGAUGAGCCCGCGUCUGAUUAGCUUGUUGGUGAGGUAAUGGCUCACCAAGGCAUCGAUCAGUAGCUGGUCUGAGAGGAUGAUCAGCCACACUGGGACUGAGACACGGCCCAGACUCCUACGGGAGGCAGCAGUGGGGAAUUUUCCGCAAUGGGCGAAAGCCUGACGGAGCAACGCCGCGUGAGGGACGAAGGCCUCUGGGCUGUAAACCUCUUUUCUCAAGGAAGAAGAUAUGACGGUACUUGAGGAAUAAGCCACGGCUAAUUCCGUGCCAGCAGCCGCGGUAAUACGGGAGUGGCAAGCGUUAUCCGGAAUUAUUGGGCGUAAAGCGUCCGCAGGCGGCUUUUCAAGUCUGCUGUUAAAACGUGGAGCUUAACUCCAUCAUGGCAGUGGAAACUGAUUGGCUUGAGUAUGGUAGGGGCAGAGGGAAUUCCCGGUGUAGCGGUGAAAUGCGUAGAUAUCGGGAAGAACACCAGUGGCGAAGGCGCUCUGCUGGGCCAUUACUGACGCUCAUGGACGAAAGCCAGGGGAGCGAAAGGGAUUAGAUACCCCUGUAGUCCUGGCCGUAAACGAUGAACACUAGGUGUCGGGGGAAUCGACCCCUUCGGUGUCGUAGCUAACGCGUUAAGUGUUCCGCCUGGGGAGUAC